AGCGAACGCUGGCGGCAGGCUUAACACAUGCAAGUCAAGCGGACCUUUCGGGGUCAGCGGCGGACGGGUGAGUAACGCGUGGGAACGUGCCUUCCGGUUCGGAAUAACCCUGGGAAACUAGGGCUAAUACCGGAUACGCCCUUAUGGGGAAAGGUUUACUGCCGGAAGAUCGGCCCGCGUCUGAUUAGCUAGUUGGUGGGGUAACGGCCUACCAAGGCGACGAUCAGUAGCUGGUCUGAGAGGAUGAUCAGCCACACUGGGACUGAGACACGGCCCAGACUCCUACGGGAGGCAGCAGUGGGGAAUAUUGGACAAUGGGCGCAAGCCUGAUCCAGCCAUGCCGCGUGAGUGAUGAAGGCCUUAGGGUUGUAAAGCUCUUUUAUCCGGGACGAUAAUGACGGUACCGGAGGAAUAAGCCCCGGCUAACUUCGUG
Molecule: ribosomal RNA, 433 nt
Filed under: uncultured bacterium
Lineage: Bacteria
Description: partial 16S ribosomal RNA
Rfam family: Bacterial small subunit ribosomal RNA
Source: RNAcentral